GGGGCUGAUUCUGGAUUCGACGGGAUUUGCGAAACCCAAGGUGCAUGCCGAGGGGCGGUUGGCCUCGUAAAAAGCCGCAAAAAAAUAGUCGCAAACGACGAAAACUACGCUUUAGCAGCUUAAUAACCUGCUUAGAGCCCUCUCUCCCUAGCCUCCGCUCUUAGGACGGGGAUCAAGAGAGGUCAAACCCAAAAAGAGAUCGCGUGGAUGCCCUGCCUGGGGUUGAAGCGUUAAAACGAAUCAGGCUAGUCUGGUAGUGGCGUGUCCGUCCGCAGGUGCCAGGCGAAUGUAAAGACUGACUAAGCAUGUAGUACCGAGGAUGUAGGAAUUUCGGACGCGGGUUCAACUCCCGCCAGCUCCACCA
This 364-nucleotide transfer-messenger RNA is filed under the name Salmonella enterica subsp. enterica serovar Thompson. It matches the Rfam family "transfer-messenger RNA". Rfam says of the family: Bacterial tmRNA, also known as 10Sa RNA or SsrA, is named for its dual tRNA and mRNA-like properties. Its role is to liberate the mRNA from a stalled ribosome. To accomplish this part of the tmRNA is used as a reading frame that ends in a translation stop signal. The record is from RNAcentral. Lineage: Bacteria; Pseudomonadati; Pseudomonadota; Gammaproteobacteria; Enterobacterales; Enterobacteriaceae. RNAcentral also lists the same sequence under 1 other name.